GACGAACGCUGGCGGCGUGCUUAACACAUGCAAGUCGAACGGAAAGGCCCUGCUUUUGUGGGGUGCUCGAGUGGCGAACGGGUGAGUAACACGUGAGUAACCUGCCCUUGACUUUGGGAUAACUUCAGGAAACUGGGGCUAAUACCGGAUAGGAGCUCCUGCUGCAUGGGGGGGGUUGGAAAGUUUCGGCGGUUGGGGAUGUACUCGCGGCUUAUCAGCUUGUUGGUGGGGUAGUGGCUUACCAAGGCUUUGACGGGUAGCCGGCCUGAGAGGGUGACCGGCCACAUUGGGACUGAGAUACGGCCCAGACUCCUACGGGAGGCAGCAGUGGGGAAUAUUGCACAAUGGGCGGAAGCCUGAUGCAGCAACGCCGCGUGCGGGAUGACGGCCUUCGGGUUGUAAACCGCUUUCGCCUGUGACGAAGCGUGAGUGACGGUAAUGGGUAAAGAAGCACCGGCUAACUACGUG
This 468-nucleotide ribosomal RNA is filed under the name uncultured bacterium. RNAcentral describes it as "partial 16S ribosomal RNA". It matches the Rfam family "Bacterial small subunit ribosomal RNA", at positions 28 to 507 of the family's 1533-position model. The record is from RNAcentral.